CCUCACUAACCCGCUGACCCGCAGGCACCGGGGAGACGCCGACGCUCGGAACGCUGGACUUCUACAUGGCGCGGCUUCACGGAGCCAUCGAGCGCGACCCGGCGCAGCACGAGAGACUGAUCGCGCGCGUCAAGGAGAUCCUGGCGCGAGUAGCCAGCGAGCACCUGUGACAGGCCUCUUGGACCGGGAGACGCCCCUCCACACCCGCCCAGGAAGAAGCUGCACCUUGGGGUCUCCAGACCCCCCUCAAAUGAAAUCUCAACUGCAUCCCUUUAACCUCGAACCCCAACCCAGGUUGCAGAGCCCGGAAGACCUGCCUGCCUCACAGGGAGGGUCACAGUACAGUGGGUCAGGAACAGAGGAACCAUGGCCUCCGGACUCAGAUACCCCACCGCCACCCCUGAUGAAGAGCAGGACCCUAGGCCACUCACCAUACAGCCACUGGACCCACUGGGCAGGCGCUAACCAAGCAGCGCCGGGGUAGGGGUGGGGUAGUCCAACAGCCCCUUACCCCACGCCUUUCAUCACUCAAUCCGGACUUUUAAAUAUGUGUCAAUAAAAGCAAGUGAGUUUUCAUUCAAGUUAA
RNAcentral lists this long non-coding RNA (586 nucleotides) under Rattus norvegicus (Norway rat). Its description in RNAcentral is "long non-coding RNA NONRATT025521". Lineage: Eukaryota; Metazoa; Chordata; Mammalia; Rodentia; Muridae. The record is from RNAcentral.